UCGAACAGUUGGUGUGGACGUGCUGCCAUGAGACGAUCCAGACUGUUGAAGGAGGCAGGGACCUAAUGGCUAGAGAUAGAGUGACAUGCCGCAUUGAUGGUGGAGGGGACAACGAUUCCACGUGUCACCAUGCGUUCAAGAGGGUCAUGUGGGCAUUGAUUGUUGGGGAUAGAGAAGUGACUGCGGCCGUUGAGGGGUCGUGUGCAUGGAAGCUAGCAGCUGAUGUGUCGCUUGGUGAGAGGGGAGUGUGGGCGCGUGUGAAGGGAGAGCACAUCGGGUUUCAUUGUGAGAGGAUUGAGCAACUUUUAUUGCUUCCUGCGCACGGGGAUGCUAACCAUUGAUUCCUUGCAAUGAUCCAACAGUAGCGAGGGGCAUGGUUCUAAACAGUUGAUGUGGGUGAAUCGUGAGCAUUGGAGGCGAUAUGGAUCCUGCAGUGAUUAGAGAGUCACAUGGGGUACUUUGAUCGGAUGAGUGAGGACUUGCCAACGUGUGCAAAUGCUACUGAGCUGAUGCGAAAAGGAAACGUGGCUUAGAUCUUGGUACUGCGCCACUGCUGAUCCCUACCCUGUUGAGGUUUGAAGAACAGGAACCCUGGUUCAGGCCACCAUCAGUUCGUCUGAACAAUUUGGACCGUCGAUGGUGUUUAAAGCGAGAGGCUCAAACUUGAACACCAAGGAGUGCAAGAUAAGUGGCUGAGGUGAUCCAUGUGUCAACCCCAGACUUGCGGGCUUUUUGGAGUGCUCCAGCUUGGCAAGCCCAGAUUGGAGGAUCUGGCAUUUUAAUUUUUUAUUUUCCUUUUAUUUAUUGUAAUUUCUACAUGUACCCCCCUAAGUUGUCGAUGAUGCAACUAUUAUUUGUACAACUACUUUGUAUGUACCUAUUUUCACUUUCCUACA
This is a long non-coding RNA of Malania oleifera, 896 nucleotides long. RefSeq lists it as uncharacterized. The record is from RefSeq and is a predicted model, not a curated record. The transcript has 3 exons. Lineage: Eukaryota; Viridiplantae; Streptophyta; Magnoliopsida; Santalales; Ximeniaceae.